RNAcentral lists this ribosomal RNA (450 nucleotides) under uncultured bacterium. RNAcentral describes it as "bacterial SSU rRNA". It matches the Rfam family "Bacterial small subunit ribosomal RNA", at positions 329 to 794 of the family's 1533-position model. The record is from RNAcentral.
UACCAGACUCCUACGGGAGGCAGCAGUGGGGAAUAUUGGGCAAUGGGCGAAAGCCUGACCCAGCAACGCCGCGUGAAGGAAGAAGACUUUCGGGUUGUAAACUUCUUUUGACAGGGAAGAGCAGAAGACGGUACCUGUCGAAUAAGCCACGGCUAACUACGUGCCAGCAGCCGCGGGAAUACGUAGGGGGCAAGCGUUAUCCGGAUUUACUGGAUGUAAAGGGAGCGUAGACGGUUAUGUAAGUCUGGAGUGAAAGCCCGGGGCCCAACCCCGGGACUGCUUUGGAAACUGUGUAACUGGAGUACAGGAGGGGCAGGCGGAAUUCCUGGUGUAGCGGUGAAAUGCGUAGAUAUCAGGAGGAACACCGGCGGCGAAGGCGGCCUGCUGGACUGAAACUGACGUUGGGGCUCGAAAGCGUGGGGAGCAAACAGGAUUAGAUACCCGUGUAAC